UACGGGGGGGGCAAGCGUUGUUCGGAAUUACUGGGCGUAAAGGGCUCGUAGGCGGCCAACUAAGUCAGACGUGAAAUCCCUCGGCUUAACCGGGGAACUGCGUCUGAUACUGGAUGGCUUGAGAUUGGGAGAGGGGUGCGGAAUUCCAGGUGUAGCGGUGAAAUGCGUAGAUAUCUGGAGGAACACCGGUGGCGAAGGCGGCAUCCUGGACCAACACUGACGCUGAGGAGCGAAAGCCAGGGGAGCAAACGGG
Molecule: ribosomal RNA, 253 nt
Filed under: uncultured bacterium
Lineage: Bacteria
Description: partial 16S ribosomal RNA
Rfam family: Bacterial small subunit ribosomal RNA
Source: RNAcentral